Molecule: long non-coding RNA, 1123 nt
Organism: Mangifera indica (mango)
Lineage: Eukaryota; Viridiplantae; Streptophyta; Magnoliopsida; Sapindales; Anacardiaceae
Exons: 3
Source: RefSeq, a predicted model, not a curated record
UUUUUCUCGCGACCCGUUUUCAACUUUUCCGGAAAUUUUAAUUAUUUGCUUUGUGAUAUCUUGGUUUAUGGGACGUGUUUUUCUUUUAUGAUACUAUGCUUGUUUGAUGCGGGUGUAUGAAUAAAAACAAGAAAUUACUAUGAAGGGUUAAUAAUUGGCGGCCAGUGAUGUGAGAAUUAAUAUUUGCUACUCUUGAUAGGGUGCUACUCCAUUUGAUGAUUCUUAUCCACCAAGAUCUCUGAGGCCGCUUGAUGGUUUGAAGAUUUAUUUUAUUUUACUCUUUUUCUGAAUUAGGGAUAAGAUUUAUAUAGAUUAGGUCAAAAUUUUCGUGUAUGUUAUAUUAGGGAUAGAAUAAUAACUUAAAUUGAAUCAAUUUGGACUUGAUUUAUUCUUUUGUUUGAAUAACAAAACAAAUUAAGUUCACUGUCUAAAGUGUGCUGAUAUGCUGAAAUUCCGCAUUCAUAUCUUGUUGUGGAGGGAUAAAUUUUUUGCAGAAAGACACGGGGGAAGGAAGCUGGUCACAAGUUGAAGACCCACGGUAGGAACCAAAGGUGGGCUGAUAAGGCAUAUAAAAAGUCCAACCUUGGCAAUGAAUGGAAGUAGCCAUUUGCUGGCUCCUCUUACGCAAAAGGCAUUGUUCUUGAGAAAAUUGGUAUCGAGGCAAAGCAGCCCAAUUCUGCUAUUAGAAAAUGUGUUCGAGUCUGGCUGAUUAAGAGUGUAAAGAAGAUUCCAGCUUUUGUGCCAAAUGAUGGUUGUAUGAACUACAUUGAAGAAAUAACGAAGUACUAAUCGCUGGAUUUGGUUGUAAGGGGCAUGCUGUCGGAGAUAUUCAUGGGGUUAGAUUUAAGGUUGUAGAGGUUUCAGGUGUGUCUCUUCUAGCCUUCUUCAAGGAGAAACCAAGGUCAUGAACACUUGCCCCAAAUGCUUCCUUGUCUUUUUGGAGCUUUUAAUUUCCCCAAAUCCCCUUACACUUCUCCAUUUAUCUUUCCUAUGUAUUGCUGUUAAGUAAAUAUUUACUCAGUUGAAAGUAUUUGGAAUUUAUUCUUUUCUUUUAAAUUAUUAGGUUUUGUGAAAGUUGAAUUCUGCUAUUAGAAAAUUGCGUAAUGGGUAUUCUUCUGUUUGA